Molecule: ribosomal RNA, 460 nt
Filed under: uncultured bacterium
Lineage: Bacteria
Description: partial 16S ribosomal RNA
Rfam family: Bacterial small subunit ribosomal RNA
Source: RNAcentral
CCUACGGGAGGCAGCAGUGAGGAAUAUUGGUCAAUGGACGAGAGUCUGAACCAGCCAAGUAGCGUGAAGGAUGACUGUCCUAUGGGUUGUAAACUUCUUUUAUAUGGGAAUAAAACGUUCCACGUGUGGGAUUUUGUAUGUACCAUAUGAAUAAGGAUCGGCUAACUCCGUGCCAGCAGCCGCGGUAAUACGGAGGAUCCGAGCGUUAUCCGGAUUUAUUGGGUUUAAAGGGAGCGUAGGUGGAUUGUUAAGUCAGUUGUGAAAGUUUGCGGCUCAACCGUAAAAUUGCAGUUGAAACUGGCAGUCUUGAGUACAGUAGAGGUGGGCGGAAUUCGUGGUGUAGCGGUGAAAUGCUUAGAUAUCACGAAGAACUCCGAUUGCGAAGGCAGUUCACUGGACUGCAACUGACACUGAGGCUCGAAAGUGUGGGUAUCAAACAGGAUUAGAUACCCCCGUAGUC